This 599-nucleotide ribosomal RNA is filed under the name uncultured bacterium. RNAcentral's name for it is "bacterial SSU rRNA". It matches the Rfam family "Bacterial small subunit ribosomal RNA", at positions 23 to 657 of the family's 1533-position model. The record is from RNAcentral. RNAcentral also lists the same sequence under 1 other name.
CUCAGAACGAACGCUGGCGGCAGGCCUAACACAUGCAAGUCGAGCGCACUUAUGACCUUCGGGUUAUAGGCGAGCGGCGGACGGGUUAGUAACGCGUGGGAACGUACCCUUUACUACGGAAUAGCCUUGGAAACGAAGAGUAAUACCGUAUACGCCCUUGGGGGAAAGAUUUAUCGGUAAAGGAUCGGCCCGCGUAAGAUUAGAUAGUUGGUGGGGUAAUGGCCUACCAAGUCUACGAUCUUUAGCUGGUUUGAGAGGAUGAUCAGCAACACUGGGACUGAGACACGGCCCAGACUCCUACGGGAGGCAGCAGUGGGGAAUCUUAGACAAUGGGCGAAAGCCUGAUCUAGCCAUGCCGCGUGAGUGAAGAAGGCCCUAGGGUCGUAAAACUCUUUCGCCAGAGAUGAUAAUGACAGUAUCUGGUAAAGAAACCCCGGCUAACUCCGUGCCAGCAGCCGCGGUAAUACGGAGGGGGUUAGCGUUGUUCGGAAUUACUGGGCGUAAAGCGCACGUAGGCGGACUGAUCAGUUAGAGGUGAAAUCCCAGGGGCUCAACCCUGGAACUGCCUUUAAUACUGUCAGUCUAGAGAUCGAGAGAGG